CAAACCCGAUCCUGCUGAAGAAUUCAGGGCUCGGCAAGGUGCCUCCGAUGCCUGGGCCAGGGAAGUAGUGCCCACCAACACCUCCGUAGAUGUUCUGAGGAUGAACGACCUUGUCCUUGCACUUCAGCAUCCGAGCUCCCUCAACAUCGACGUUGCAUGCAAGAGACAGGCACAAGAGCAAUGCUAAGCAAACAAUUGACGACGACGAUCUCUUCUUCUCCGUAGUAGUGCUGAUGUUGCGGUUUAUGAGACUAGUGAACGAGGGUUGGUGGCAUUGUGUAUCUGAUUGAGCAUGCGACGUGAGCAAUUUGCUUCAGAAGAAAGGACUUAACAUGGCCCCUGUUUAUGUAGUAGUGUCUUGGCAUUCUAAUUCAAGGAAGAGAGGAUAUCUUCAAAACUGUCAUGGUUGGGGCCCUUUUUCAGGAAUAACGACGUUCGUUCAUUUGGAAAUCAAGGGUUGUGCCAAAAUUAAUGAACUUAGUCUCUCAACUAUAUAUUUCCAAGUGGCCCAAAGGGUUUAUAUACAUUCUUUGACAAAGUACAUUUGUUUUGCUGAAAAUGAAUGACUCAGAAAAUAUUUUUCUAAAAAUAAUCUCUUCUAUCACUUAUAGAAAUGAACAAACGAAAAAUAUUAUCGAUCUACGAAAUGUUUAGACAAUUUUUUCCUUGGCACCUUGGACCUUCUUCUGUUUGGUAAUAUAGGCAUAGAUUCUCAUGCUAAACUCAAUUAAGGGGGGUCUGCACUAAGCACUUGGCCUCAAGCUGAUUAUGAUGACCACAAAUUCCAUUGUAAAUGACUGUAGUUGCUGGGUUAUUCUAAAAUCAGAAUAUUGAAGCACAAGAGACAGUAGUGACAAAGAGGUCUUAAGAACAAAACCUUCCUCUUUGGACAGAGAACGUGGAUUCUAGGAUCCAUCUGCCAGACCCUUCUUCAUUUAGUUAUUCUGUCUUCCUGUUUCUCUGUCAUAUAUUGUCUCUUCCUUUCAUGUGUGUUUUUCUUUAUGCUAACAUUAAAAAAUUAAGUUCACCUUUCAGUAGUAUGAAACUGGGUCAAUCUCUAUGGUCUCUGCAUGAAACUUUUUGUCUUCUUUGGCAAGACGAGUACGUGCUUUUACUAGUAAGAUGUUGUGAGCAUGAAGAAGAGACGAGUAGAAUGUUUGUGAAAAGAAACAGUCCCCGAGGAUUUUGCAGUAUAUUGUGCAUUAGGUAGCGAUCCUAUUCAUCAACACUUAUUCGAUUGGAAACUCUGUCGAUGCUCCCAUUUGAUGGCUUAUUUGAAUAAAAUUGUAGUUCUUGACGUAUUUCUAUCUUCUCUCCUUUUUCUUGUUUUUUAUGAUCUCUUCUUGGUCAAGGUCGAAUCCCGCAGAUGUCCUAUUGUGGGCUGUGGAGAAAAUUAUGACAGGACAUCCUCGGUGAAAGUGAGGAUAUCUCCUUGGGGCUCCUCAGUCCUCUUCUAGCUAGCGAUCUAAAAGAAAAUAAGGUGAUUGUCUUGUUCUUUUCUGCCAUUUCAGUGUGGUUUCUGUUUGCUUUAGUUUUUAAUAGGGUGUAUAAUGUCAUUUAGAAUGUCGCAAUUUCGUGUUGGAAGCUCGGAGAGAGGGUCAUCACCAGCCGUCCAGCUAAGCUUGGACCUCUUCUUCAUGGAGUAGUACAAUCCAGUGGCACCACUGUGAACGAUUACUCUCCUGUUGUGGCUUCUGUAUGUGAAAAUGAGCCAACUAUGGAGAAUAAUCAUGCUAAUGGUUUUUCACAACCAGCGGCGCGUCUCUUGAUCUUUAUAAGACCCUAUUCUUUCUGUUUAUGCUGAGCUCAGCGGUAUUGCUUCUGACUUUCCAUCCUUCCAUUGAAUAAGUUUCUAGAUGAAAUGAACUUCGACGCCCACCUUUUAUUGUCUUCUCCUAUAAAGAUUUUUCCGUAGACUAUGAUAAGCUGCUAAAAUUUUUUGAAAGUUUCACUCUGGCUAAUCAAGAUAAUCACAUGUCGAAAUAAACCGAAACCAUUCUCACUUAUCCUUGCAACAGUCAGAAGCUCUCCAUGUGACAUGCUUCCUAGGCCUCUCCCCUGGAUCUCCAGCGAACUAGCAUGUACAAACAUACCGGGGAAGACACUGAAAGUUGGCAAUCAUACAAAUGUAACGCCGGAAAAUAGAUGUGUCGAGACUGACAAGUAACUAAUUAAAUCCAAUAUCUAACGCACUGGACUUCUUCUGACCGUCGGGAUCGCAUCAAUAUCUGCAUCUUUGGGGCAGUCAACCCCUCAACAUUAUCCAGUGCUGCCUCAGCCAAGAAACAUAUGGUCUCUGCUACAGAACACCUAAGGAGGAUAUCUGGCCUAUGGGUAACUCCUCAGCACUUUGACAAUUCAUCGAGACUCCCAGUCCUUCAAUUUCUUGCUUCCUUUGGGUUUCUCUAUGGGAGCAUUCAGUCCGGCCAUCUUCGCAUUGUACUUCGCCCUGAGAGGGUCAUUGUAGGUCCAACUGCAUCACAAGAAAACAUCAAAUUAAGUUCCUCCUAUCGUCAUCAUGAAUCCGUAAUAAAUUGUUAACUCUUUGAACUUCCUGUCCCAGGUAACAUACUGGAAACAAGACGGAAUGCCAUGUUCAUAGAAAGAUGGCAUCAAUAGAAUCAAAACAAACUUCUCUAUGGAUUAAUGAUUUUUCAAAUGUCCAGACCAAAUAAAAGCACUUCUUUUCUUCCACGAAGGACUCAGGAAUGAGAAAUGAGUUCUCGCAUACAAUUCCACUCGAACAACAUUCUAAAACCUAAAUAUUUUGUAACAAAAUUAAGCAGACCAAUGAGUAAAUUCACCAUGUGUCAUAUCAACAGCUGCAAGUUAAUUCAUAAAACAAUGACAAUAUAAAUUAAUAAUCACAACAAGCAUAAUGUCCAGUUAACAUUGUUGUAAACACCCUCCAUAGCCAUCAAAUUACUAUUAAUGCACUUCAAUCUCAAUUAUGCAAACAAGAGAGGAGCACACAAGGUGCGGAUGCGUAAGGACGAGAAAUAGGAGAGCUGUAUCAGAGUGAAAAAAUCAAUAGAUAAGUAAGACUUACGGAUUGUUCCAAUCAGUUGUAUCUUCAUUAACAAGAUGAGUCCACUUCGUCCUUCCACUCCGACCAAAGUGCUUGACUUGCAUGACUUUCGGCAAAAUAGUUUUAUCCAUUUUAUCCUCGCCAGUUGGAGCAGAGAAAUCACGGCUGUAAAUGUAAUCCGAUCCAGCUGUUCCAGCAUGGUCAUCGACUUCUGACUGGAAGAAGGCACCCUUGUGGUAAUACUUCUGCAUGAACCUCCAUUUCUGCUUUGGUGCCGAAGAAGGUCUGGGAUUCUUCCUUUCCCACUCCCUCCUUUCCUCCUCUGUCAUGUUUCUCACCUUCUCAAUCUCUUCCUUCGCCUUUAACAUUGCUUCACGGUCCUCUCUAUCCCUCUUGAUCCUUGCAAUCUCUCUUGCUUUCCAAGCUUCAUACUCUUCAGCCUCAUUGAGCUCAUCAUCAGUUUCCACAUCAGCGAUGUUCGCCUCCAUUUCCAGAUUCUUUUGGAUUUCUUCGUCUUUUCGGAUCUCCUCAACCACAAUCUGCUUCGUCUCAACCUUUCUCUCCUCUUGUCUCCUCUUCAUUAGCUCCUCAAUGGCUCUUUCUUCCGCCUCAAGCCGCUGUCUUUCAGCUAUAGUAUCCCUCUCCGACUUAACGACAAAGACUGGCUUCACCAUGGCAAUACCUUUCGUCUCUUCUUCUGAGUCUGUCUCAUACUCAGAUUCCUCUUCUUCCUCCUCCUCUUCCUCCUCCUCCUCCUCUUCAGGAAGGAGUGCUGCCUCUUCCUGUUCCCUCAGAAGCAACUUCUCCCUUAUCUUUCUUCUCCGUUCUUCUAAAGCCUCUGCAUCCUCUUCUUCUGCUUCCAGACCCUCCUGUCUUCUGUUUUCCUCUUCAAUGGUAGAAACGAUCUCAGCUUGUCGAAUGCGACGAUGAUCAGCUCUGAUUUCAUCACGGUUAUCUAUCCUGCUCUCGGCCAAACGCCGCAACCUGGGAUCAUCUUUCUUGCCAAUACCUGAAUCUUCAUGAGCAGGAAAAGCUUUCUCCAGGGCAACUGCCCUUGCCAUCCUGAUAUCCCCAUCUUCAUCAGCUUCAUCUGCCCACUCAGGAACUUUACCAGGCCAAUACCGUUUGACCUUAGUCUGUCCAAUUUUACCCCUAAGUUUAUCCCUUACAGCAAUUACAGUGUCACUCACUCCCGCUGUCACCGACAUUGUUGUGUAUGUUGUAUGGCACAAAAUGAAAGAGGAAAAAAAAAAUUAUGACCAGCAGACCACUUUGUGCUAUUACUCCUCCAGGACCAAGUUAUGCCGCAAUUAGAGCUGUUCUGUACACAAUGCAAGAGAAAAUAUGUAAAUAUCCAGGGGAUAAUUCAUCAUGCAAACCUUAUUUCCCUCCAGGGGGAGGGGCUAAUCCAAAUCCUAAUGCGAGUAAGAAAAACUGGAAUACCCAAAACUAAAUCAAAGGUCAGUCGUGCAUUUAUAAUUUAGAAGCGGUUAGCACGCCGUUCAACUACAUUUAGAUCCGAUCGAUGCACCAAUCAGAUCAGGUGCAGACUCAUUGAGCAAAGUCCUCCCCUUUCAUCAAAAGAUUUGCACAACAAUCAACACCAGGGUUACCCAAAUCACCCACGAACCCGCGACUCGCAAGCGUUCAACCGGCAAGUUGUCAUGGAAGGAAGACACGGACGAAAACGAUCGAAACCCUAGCUCAGGGGAAGAAGGCAAGAGCUAAUUCGAGUGCAGGGGCGGGCUCUCUCUCAAUUUUUUAAGAUUUUUAGAGCAUUGCGAGCUGGAAUCUGCGGCAAAAUUGGGAUCAUUUCUCAAGACAAGCAACUUGGCGAUUAGGGCUGCUAAACCAACGAUCGGCAUUACCAUUCAACGAUCAAUCCCACAAGCAAUUCAUGAAGCAUAAAGAAGAAUCGAAGAGCAACCCAGAAACCCUAGCAUCGGCGUCAACGGUAAAAACCGCCGCUUGACAAACAUCAUCGUCGGUAAUCGUCGGAAUGAUUUGAACUCUUUACAAAAUUUCGGAAAAGUCGAGAUUUUUACCUGAUACCAGGGAUGGCGGAUGCUCUCCCUGCAAUCGGCGGCGCAACGGAGCGAGAGAGAGAAAGAGAAAUGGGGGCUCAGGAGAAGAAGUUCAAAUCGAAGUUCGUGCUGCGGAAGCCAUGGAUGAACUGCUCGACCUCGCUGCGCUGCUUGUCAUCGUUUUCUUCUUCUUCGCAAGCCACCAGCGGAGGUAAAUCUUCACCCCGUUGCUGUCUGCUUCAGGCCCAAUUGUGGCCCAACAGUAGUAGGCCCAUUAGAAUCAAGGUGUCUCGGCCCAAUUACGUGAUUGAAGUGGGGGGCCAAGCUUAAGCUUACUUUAAUCCCUUUUUUAUCUUCUUCUUUUUUUCUUUAAAUUUCUCCUUUUUUUAUUACUCAAGGAAAAUUGCUCCUUCACUUGCGUGCAAUAUACUGUCAAGGAUAAUGAUGAAGAGUUUAAGGGAUGAAAGAGAAUUGCGCGCAGAUAUUAUAGUAGUUCAGUUUAUUACAAGCCUACGUCCAUUCGUCCAUAGUGAUGGUCUACUGGCUAGAUUUCACUAGUUAAUUCAUGAGAGGUUACAAAAUUUGAGUAUUCACUUCUCAAGGGUGUGUGAUUGACUGCUCUAACUCACACAAUUGCUCUAACAAUUGCCUCUCGAAUAUUACAAUUGUAGCAUACAGAGACAUGUAACGUGAAAGCUCUCUUGAACUUUGGAAUUUCAAGUUCACGAUCUUGAUUUUUUCUUCCACACCAAAAUCUCCUUUUAUAUUCCUCCAAAUCCAAUCUAGUUGUUGGACAGUCUUUAGAGUAUCAUUCUCCAAUCAAUCCAUUGGAAAUGCAUGUUUUAAAAAGAUUAAGUAGCCAUUAAGUCAUGAGAUCAAAAUCUUCCAUCAAUUCAAUCGCCCAUACAAUUGAGCUAGGUUUCCAUAAAUAGAGUUAUUCGUUUGAAAAGAAUAUCUUGUCUUUGGAUGAUUGUCAAUAAAUAAAAUAUUCUUUGCUUUUUGUCCGUUUGUUGCAAAACAAUCUUUAAAAUUGAUAAAUAAUCAACACUUUCUACAAAAGAAAUCCAAGUGAAAUCACUAGCCAUUGUGAUAUACGUGGUUUUUUAGUCUAAUUAGACUUCUUGAUCAAAUGAUAUUGUUUGAGUUGGAAUAUUUCCCGAGUUUAAAUGGUCUUCUCAUAGAAUCUAAAGAUGCCCAACAUCUUGUCAAUAUUCACAAGCAAGCUCUGCUAAUAUCCUCAUAUUACUCUAAUGAUAUCCAUCCAUUUAUGAAGUCCACAAAGUAAAUUAUUCAGAACUUCAGACAUACAAUCCAAAUGACAAUAACUAGAGUCCGAAUACCAUUUCUUCAUGAAUAUCACCUAAAUAAUAUUUCGUUAGAUUCAAUAGAUACUUAUGAAAGGUUUUGUCACUCUUCAAAACAUAUUAAGAAGUUUUCUCAACAGUGUGUAGGGCUCAAGAUUGAUGAGCUUUCAAGGGCAAAGGCGGUCACCACAAUGAAUGAUUGAAGAGAACUCAAUUGCCUAUUCAUGCCUCACCAUACGUAGCAAUUUCAUUGUUGCAUAAGGAAGAACAUGGCUCUUUUUUGGGUCCUCAACUCAUGGCUGCAUAAUGAAUAACUACGGUGACGCAUUUUGGUUAAGGCUGGGCUCGUUUAUGCAAUCAUUUAAACUUAUGAUUUGAUGGUUUGAACCAAGGAUUGAACUUGAACCAUGAGCAACCAUCAUUCAGUUCUUGCUCAAAUUUACUUUGUAGCCCAUGUUUGGCUGAAUUGCGUUCAUGUAAUCUAAUGGUUGUGCAGAAAAGCUUUUGCAUAGCUUGAUUCUACGUUUGAAAAUUUUGACUGCUUUAUAGUGCAACACGUAGAAACCAACUAAUCUCUUUCUGGAUGAAACGUAAAUGUGAGGAGUACUUCUUUCUUUUGACUCUGGAAGAAAAGAAGAAAAAGUGCAAUUGUGUUGUUUUUGAAGCUAGCCUAUCAUUUGAUUUCCGAAGAGAAAUUUAUCAACUUGAAUUAAAGUAAUAUGCCGAGAUGGAAAGUGUCAUGGCUAGAACUAUCACAUGGAGGAGGGGUGGAUAGGUUAUAUAAACAAUUAAAGCAUAAUUUGAAACAACCAAAGUCAAAGUCUAAUAAAAAACUUCGUAGUGAUCAAAUCUUCUGCAACAUCUUAUGAAGAACUAUGUAAUGAUCAGACUUUACCAUGUGCAAUAAAUUGAAUAAAUGAGAGAUUAAAGGAUAGAGAAAAUUGCACACAACAAUAAUAGUGGUUCAACUUUUGUAAGCCUACGUCCACUCUCCCGCGCUAUAGCCUAUUAGUUAGAUUCUACAAUGAAGAACCGAUCAGAGGUUAUAAGAUCUAAACUCUGAACACUUGAGCUCAAGUGUAUAACUCCUCACACACUCUCAACCUCUAAAUGGUUACACAAUGAUCUCAAGGAGACGAAUGUAUUUGAUGGCAAAACACUCUUUAGACUUUGGAAUUAUAAGCUUCCAUUUUCUCGUGUUGCAUUUUUCCUUUCAACUUCGAGACCUCCUUUAUACUCCUCUCUAUCUAAGAUGACCGUUGGAUAUAUCCCCUAGAGGAUUAUCCAGCCAAUCUACUUGUUGGCCCAUAUCUUGCCUAGAAGAUCUUAUCACUUCAAAAAUGUCGAGAAUAAAGCUUCCUGUAGAUUCUGGGCGGCAGUUUGGGUUUCCAUAAGUUGAGUGCUUUAAUUUGGAAAGAAUGUUUCACCUCAAGUCUAUCGUUCUAGGAAAGUGAGAUCUUCAAAAGAUAUUUGGAAGACUUUCCUUUUGAAACUUCUUAUAAAUAAAGCAAGGAAUCUAAUCAAUCACCACUAGCUGUUGCACGAGGAUAUUAUCUCAUUUCUAAGAACACAUAAAGAAGGAAAUAAUUAUCAUUUGAUCAUAUCCUAUCAGAUUUUUCACCCAAAAAAUAUUUAUCAUCAAAAUCAAAGUCUUUUACUCCCGAUAAGUUUUGUCAAUCUUCAAAAUUAAUUUAGGAAAUUUCCUCAAUAGAAAGACCCAUCAUGCGUCAUGAUCAUGAGUUGAUGUAGCAUCUAGAAGCUCAUCUUUUAUCGCCAUCCUCGGUAAUCGUUUUUCACCAUUGCUGAUCAUUGUUAGGGUGAACUGACGGAAAAAAGAAGAAUCACUAUCCAUAUUUUCUAUUAGGAAUAAGUACACUAAGAGUGCCAUAACUUUCGUAUAUAAUUCUGUAACUUUUUUUCACUCACUUGAGUGUCAUAAAUUCAAAAAAUCGACCACUUGAUUGCCAUCGGCGAUUUGCCUUGUCGAAAAAGCUGAUGUAGCAUUAAUUUAUAAUACAUCAUCCGACGUAGUGUGUCAAAAAGCUGAAGUCAACACUUGCAAAUGCAAACAACAUUGCUUGAAGGAUAGCAGAAAUUCCAAUAACUUCACGCAUGAUCGCUUCAGAGUCAUAAAUUUUUAGAAGUGAACACCCAGGUUUAUCAUUUUUUUUUAAUGACAAGAAGAGAGAGAGUUUGAAAACGUCUUUUGAGGAAGAGAGAGUUUGAAAACGGCAUCGUCUAAUUGUGGAAGAUUUUAAAGAAAAAACAAAAAACGACGAUAUUUGUUAUACUCUUGUCAUGCUAGACAAAAAUUUCCACGUUGGACAUCAAUUUUUUUUUUUAAAUUCCACGUCAAAAUGGAAAAUUAAGAAAAAAAAAUCCACAUGAAGUGAUUUGUCGGAAAUGACACUCAAAUAAUUGAUUUUACACCAAUGUAGUACUAAAGUGAGUGAAACAAGAAAUUAUAGUCCCCAAAUGAGUACCAUACGAAAGUUGUUUUGCACUUAUUUCAUUUUUCUCAUAUGGAAUGUGCACUCCUACAAUAGUUGUUUUGCUGUUGGUUUUCCUCCUCCUUUUUCUUUAAGAUUGUAUUUUAGAGAAAUAAUAAUUCAAGAACUUUGAAAUUCACAACAAGAAAGGGUCAGGUUCUUUGCCUCCUUGUUAAGACACUGUUCAAUUGUAUUCCUUUAGGUUUCAUGGGGACUUCAUUUUGUUUCUUGUUUUGGGCUUAGGAGUUGAUUCUGAGCGGGAAAAACGUAAUGAUAGGACCGUUAUAUAUAUAGCAUGAUCCUUAAACUGUUCUUUAUCCUGCUGAGAAAUGGAUUACAUCAAGCUCUUCGAGAAAGCUAUGGUCGUUUCAUCCUCAGUUGCUUUGUUCUGGAAGAUCAUCAAACAUAUGUGGAGUCCCAUAAAUGUGGAGAAGGAGCCAGUGAAAGUAUUGGUUACCGGCGCAGCAGGCACGUUUUUGCUUCAAUUGAUCGCCUCCAUUUUUUCUUAUCAGACGGUCGCUAUCGGAUUCAGUGCUCGGAUGGUUCAUCAAUGUCGAAUCUUGCAUAAUGUCCAAUUACAUGGAUUCGUUGUUAGAGUUGAAGUUACAGUUCCAUCAAUUUGGAAGGUCAAGGCUAACAGCGACGGCAUGGAUUCUCCUUUGAAUUCAUGCCGGUUGCCAUAAUGUUUAACCGAGAGUUUCCUAUUUUGCUUUCGCAGGACAAAUCGGCUACGCCCUCAUGCCUAUGAUUGCUAGGGGAGUCAUGUUAGGACCCGAUCAGCCUAUAAUUAUUCACAUGCUCGAUACCGAAAAAGCUGCCGAGGCCUUGAAUGGCCUGAAGAUGGAGCUGAUCGACGGCGCCUUCCCUCUGCUCAGAGGCAAACCUCUUCAAGCUGAUUGCUCAUCUUAUGCGGACCUUAAACAUUGCUGUAAUCAGUGUCUAAAUAGUCGCUUUACCAUGUCUGGUUUAUCAGGUGUCGUGGCCACUACGGAUGUUGUCGAAGCUUGCAGAGACGUAAACAUAGCUGUCAUGCUGGGUGGCAAACCGCGCCAAGAAGGCACGGAGAGGAAGGAUUGCAUAUCUAUGAACGUCUCCAUUUACAAGGCUCAAGCGUCGGCCUUGGAGCAGCAUGCCGCUGCCGAUUGCAAGGUGAGACAGAUUGGACAAAUUUCACUUCUCAGGUUAAAGGGCAAAUUCCUCUUUUUUCCUGUAGAGGAACACGUGAAAGAGUACUUGAUUUUCUCUGGUAACAUGUUUCUUUUUUUACUUGUAUUCGGCAGGUUCUAGUGGUUGCCAAUCCUGCAAACACGAACGCGCUGAUCCUGAAAGAGUCUGCUCCUUCGAUCCCUGAGAAGAACAUCACGUGCCUCAUGAGGCUCGAUCACAACAGAGCGCUGGGCCAGAUAGCCGAAAAGCUGAAGGUGCGCGUGAGCGAUGUGGAGAACAUCAUCAUCUGGGGAAACCACUCCUCGACUCAAUAUCCAGAUGUUAAUCACGCCACCGUCGCCACCAGCAGUGGUCAGAGAUCUGUCAGAGAUCUCAUUGCCGACAAUGAAUGGUAGCUCAAAGUUUCUGUCGAUAGCGCAAUUUUCGAUACUAUAGACCUGUAGCCUGCCAUUUCCUUGGUUUAUGUCUUCACUGAUCAAUCAGUUGAAAUGCAAGACAGCAUCGCACUCCAAACACCAAAAUCGAAGAAAUCUUGAUGUGACUCUUUAAUCUUCUGUCAUUCUUCUUACUUAGGUUGAAUACGGAGUUCAUUACUACCGUUCAACAGCGGGGUGAAGCGAUCAUCAAGGCUCGGAAGCGUUCGAGCGUGCUAUCUGCUGCAAGCGCCGUGUGUGACCAUAUGCAUGAUUGGCUGCUCGGCACACCCAAGGUAUCGAUAAAUCGUCAAGUGGUCAACAUGAUUCGAUGUCUUCAAUUUACUCUGCGUACCGUUUUUAUGAGUUCGCUCAAUCACUUGAAACCGCACCAAACAGGGAACAUGGGUCUCCAUGGGAGUCUGCUCGGAUGGUUCAUAUGGAAUCCCACCCGGCCUUUUUUACUCUUUCCCCGUCUCAUGUCAGAACGGAGAAUGGUCGAUCGUUCAAGGUACAGUUCCAUCAUCCUGUCCUUCGGCAUUUUGUAUCGAACAUGAAUGUAGUGUGCCUCGUGCAAGAGCAAGAAUGCUCAUAUCAACACAUUAUCGUACAACUCAUGAUCUCGAUAUAGGCAUUAAAAGAGCAUGCAAAUAAAGAAUCAAUAUACACAUGCAAAAACCUCAUCAGAGCCAGCCGCAUCUUAUACUUUAUCAUAGUCAUGGUGAUUAGUUGUCAAUUAUGGGACACUGUUUUGGCAAUCUGAAUAUGUUUAUUAAUACGGAAACCGGUUACUUAUAACGUGCAGGGCUUAAGAUUGAUGAAUUCUCGAGGGCGAAGAUGGAUGCCACGGCAAACGAGCUUAUCGAGGAGAAGUCACAGGCCUAUUUGUGUCUCGACCGAUUCUGCAGUCUUUCCAGCACUAGCGAUGAAGAGUGAUCAUCUUACGUUCUAUGGUUCAGCUGCUUUGUAACAUGAUUAAACAUGCCAAACUCCCGUUUGUUGCACGCUUCACAGAAACUACUACAUGAUACAAUAUCAAACUGAAGAUGCCGCUUGCAGUCGUGUGUCACUAUACCAUUACCUCUAUUACUUAACCAGAUGAACAACCUAUCUUUGCUUCGCGCACUACAUCUACCGAUUGUUUGAUCGAACAAACUGAAGAAUGAGACCUUAGAGGUCUCGAAACCAGGCGGCGAACCACAAAUGAGAGAGAGAGUAAGAGAGAGAGAGAGAGAGAGAGAGAGAGAGAGAGAGAGAGAGAGCAUGUUCAGUUGAACUUAGUACAUAAUAUCACACAUGAAAGCCACACAAACACCCUACUGAUCAUCAAAAUGCAGAUUUUGCAAAGCACGCUACUUUUGCCACCUGCAUUUCUGUGUCUAAAACGUUCAAACACGAGCGAAGACACUCCCAAUCCAAACCACACACCUUUCGACUAUGACAGAACCGAGGAAAUAAGAUUCACAUGAAGAGAACUAGAGAAACAACACAAGAAACCAUCUAAAUCAGCAGUUCGCACUACCCGUUAAAACCCCCACGCACGGUCUCACACGCCCAACGUUGUUAACCAUCAACGUUCACCUCUCUCCCUGGCUCAUGGCGAUGCGCCAGAGGACGAGCCCGGGAAAAUGGGAGUGGCCGGAACACACCCGCCGGGGAACGUGCAGAACCCGGACGGCCCAAACCCGACCCCGCCGGCGAAUCCAGGGUUCGGCAAGCCCCCUCCCGUGCCGGGGCCCGGGAAGUAGUACCCACCGGUGCCUCCGUAGAUGUUCUGAGGGCGGACGGCCUUGUCCUUGCUCUUCAGCAUCCUAGCUCCCUCGACAUUGACGUUGCAUGCAAGAAAGAGGCUCAAGAGCAACACUAAGCAAACAAGCGACGAGGACGACGACGACGACGAUCUCUUCAUCUCCACGGUAGUGUUGAUGUUGCGGCUUUUGAGACUGGUG
This 12374-nucleotide long non-coding RNA is filed under the name Eucalyptus grandis. Its description in RNAcentral is "long non-coding RNA (EGRA_LNC002741)". The record is from RNAcentral. Lineage: Eukaryota; Viridiplantae; Streptophyta; Magnoliopsida; Myrtales; Myrtaceae.